Molecule: non-coding RNA, 145 nt
Organism: Gossypium raimondii (Peruvian cotton)
Lineage: Eukaryota; Viridiplantae; Streptophyta; Magnoliopsida; Malvales; Malvaceae
Source: Rfam
UGUUAAAAAUUCUAUCCAUUUCUACAAUAAAAAACUGGCGUGGCUGACAAAAUAAUCAAAUAAUUACACGUGGCACGUGACAUGUAUCUCAUUAUGAUAUACAGGGACCAGUUUUUAACAGUAGGAUUAGAUGGAAAUUUUAAUA